UACGGAGGGAGCUAGCGUUGUUCGGAAUUACUGGGCGUAAAGCGCACGUAGGCGGCUUUGUAAGUUAGAGGUGAAAGCCCGGAGCUCAACUCCGGAAUUGCCUUUAAGACUGCAUCGCUUGAAUCCGGGAGAGGUGAGUGGAAUUCCGAGUGUAGAGGUGAAAUUCGUAGAUAUUCGCAAGAACACCAGUGGCGAAGGCGGCUCACUGGCCCGAUACUGACGCUGAGGCACGAAAGCGUGGGUAGCAAACAGG
This 253-nucleotide ribosomal RNA is filed under the name uncultured bacterium. RNAcentral's name for it is "partial 16S ribosomal RNA". It matches the Rfam family "Bacterial small subunit ribosomal RNA", at positions 524 to 776 of the family's 1533-position model. The record is from RNAcentral.